Megalobrama amblycephala (Wuchang bream) is the source of this 879-nucleotide long non-coding RNA. RefSeq lists it as uncharacterized. The record is from RefSeq and is a predicted model, not a curated record. The transcript is spliced from 3 exons. NCBI's taxonomy places the organism in Eukaryota, Metazoa, Chordata, Actinopteri, Cypriniformes, Xenocyprididae.
CAUUUCCAAUCUGGCAACACUGCACUAGAUCAACAGCGCUCCUAUUAUAGUCAGUGGAGCUCACGGCAAUUUAGUUAUAUAUGACACCUAUGUCACGUCGUGUUUCAGCCCUGGUCGCGCAUUCGUUUGACGGCCGUGAAACUUCAAUGGUGGCGCAGGCGAAUAUAGAUCCGGUGUAUGCUGCGUUUAGAAGGCUAGCGUUCCAAGCUGACUGCGGCGUUCAUGUAAAUAAAAAAAGAUGCUGCUCCUCUCGACCUGCUCCAGCUGGAAAAAACACCUCCCAAUCACCUCUCCUACAAGAGGGCGUCAAGUCCCUCUGGUGUUUUACCCAGAGUUCAAUAACCUACUCCACCCUCAAUCAAGAGUGAGAAAAGAGGACAACAAUAAGGAGAAGCUCUCAACAGGCAUGUAAAAGGUAAACGCCAAUGGGUGGGACUCACAUGCUGAUGGAAUGACGGUUGUCAGAGGGAUUAAAACUAAAGAUGAACCAUGUGGGAGUUUCCUCCAAAGAGCCUGUGGAUAAAUCUCAUUAGCAUACCUGCUCUGUGGAUGGCUGUAAAUUUAAGGAAUGACAUGCUGGAGAGAAUGAGGUUGGUUGAAAGUAGAGGGUGAAUAAACAGGCAGAAGCAACGCCAUAGUGCCACUAAGACCCCACCUGCCCAGCAUUAAUCAUUAGAAUAGCACCAGUUUUUGUGCCAUCUCCAAGGCCUCAGAAACCAUUAAACAUCUGGUCUCAAUAUAAAGUUUGUACAUACUGUACUGUGCCAUUACCAAGGAGUCAAGGUUAGUCUGGUUAGCAUGGCCUGGUUAGCCCCUGCUGGUAGACACCAUAACUACUAUAAAGGCUAUCCCAUCUGGUCCAAGCCAACAGAAAGUCUA